CAUGCAAGUCGAGCGGAAACGAGUUAUCUGAACCUUCGGGGAACGAUAACGGCGUCGAGCGGCGGACGGGUGAGUAAUGCCUAGGAAAUUGCCCUGAUGUGGGGGAUAACCAUUGGAAACGAUGGCUAAUACCGCAUAAUGCCUACGGGCCAAAGAGGGGGACCUUCGGGCCUCUCGCGUCAGGAUAUGCCUAGGUGGGAUUAGCUAGUUGGUGAGGUAAUGGCUCACCAAGGCGACGAUCCCUAGCUGGUCUGAGAGGAUGAUCAGCCACACUGGAACUGAGACACGGUCCAGACUCCUACGGGAGGCAGCAGUGGGGAAUAUUGCACAAUGGGCGCAAGCCUGAUGCAGCCAUGCCGCGUGUGUGAAGAAGGCCUUCGGGUUGUAAAGCACUUUCAGUCGUGAGGAAGGUNGUGUAGUUAAUAGCUGCAUUAUUUGACGUUAGCGACAGAAGAAGCACCGGCUAACUCCGUGCCAGCAGCCGCGGUAAUACGGAGGGUGCGAGGUUAAUCGGAAUUACUGGGCGUAAAGCGCAUGCAGGUGGUUUGUUAAGUCAGAUGUGAAAGCCCGGGGCUCAACCUCGGAAUAGCAUUUGAAACUGGCAGACUAGAGUACUGUAGAGGGGGGUAGAAUUUCAGGUGUAGCGGUGAAAUGCGUAGAGAUCUGAAGGAAUACCGGUGGCGAAGGCGGCCCCCUGGACAGAUACUGACACUCAGAUGCGAAAGCGUGGGGAGCAAACAGGAUUAGAUACCCUGGUAGUCCACGCCGUAAACGAUGUCUACUUGGAGGUUGUGGCCUUGAGCCGUGGCUUUCGGAGCUAACGCGUUAAGUAGACCGCCUGGGGAGUACGGUCGCAAGAUUAAAACUCAAAUGAAUUGACGGGGGCCCGCACAAGCGGUGGAGCAUGUGGUUUAAUUCGAUGCAACGCGAAGAACCUUACCUACUCUUGACAUCCAGAGAACUUUCCAGAGAUGGAUUGGUGCCUUCGGGAACUCUGAGACAGGUGCUGCAUGGCUGUCGUCAGCUCGUGUUGUGAAAUGUUGGGUUAAGUCCCGCAACGAGCGCAACCCUUAUCCUUGUUUGCCAGCGAGUAAUGUCGGGAACUCCAGGGAGACUGCCGGUGAUAAACCGGAGGAAGGUGGGGACGACGUCAAGUCAUCAUGGCCCUUACGAGUAGGGCUACACACGUGCUACAAUGGCGCAUACAGAGGGCAGCAAGCUAGCGAUAGUGAGCGAAUCCCAAAAAGUGCGUCGUAGUCCGGAUUGGAGUCUGCAACU
RNAcentral lists this ribosomal RNA (1278 nucleotides) under Vibrio owensii. RNAcentral's name for it is "bacterial SSU rRNA". It matches the Rfam family "Bacterial small subunit ribosomal RNA", at positions 54 to 1312 of the family's 1533-position model. The record is from RNAcentral. Lineage: Bacteria; Pseudomonadati; Pseudomonadota; Gammaproteobacteria; Vibrionales; Vibrionaceae.